UACAGAGGUGGCAAGCGUUGUUCGGAAUUACUGGGCGUAAAGGGCGCGUAGGCGGCCAUCUAAGUCAGACGUGAAAUCCCCCGGCUUAACCUGGGAACUGCGUCUGAUACUGGACGGCUUGAGUAUGGGAGAGGGAUGUAGAAUUCCAGGUGUAGCGGUGAAAUGCGUAGAUAUCUGGAGGAAUACCAGUGGCGAAGGCGGCAUCCUGGACCAUUACUGACGCUGAGGCGCGAAAGCUAGGGGAGCAAACGGG
This 253-nucleotide ribosomal RNA is filed under the name uncultured bacterium. RNAcentral describes it as "partial 16S ribosomal RNA". It matches the Rfam family "Bacterial small subunit ribosomal RNA", at positions 524 to 776 of the family's 1533-position model. The record is from RNAcentral.